This is a small nucleolar RNA of Arabidopsis thaliana (thale cress), 107 nucleotides long. It matches the Rfam family "Plant small nucleolar RNA R71". From Rfam's summary of the family: R71 is a member of the C/D box family of snoRNAs containing the C (UGAUGA) and D (CUGA) box motifs. Multiple nearly identical copies of this snoRNA have been identified in Arabidopsis, and it is thought to function as a 2'-O-ribose methylation guide for 18S ribosomal RNA. NCBI's taxonomy places the organism in Eukaryota, Viridiplantae, Streptophyta, Magnoliopsida, Brassicales, Brassicaceae. The record is from Rfam.
AACCCAUGAUGAGGACACUCCCUGUAGUAAUCCUUAAACCUCUCCCAAGCUUCAUGGAAUGACUCUGUGACUCCCUGUUGGAAGCUACUGAUCUUAUUCCUUAGAAU